This 497-nucleotide ribosomal RNA is filed under the name uncultured bacterium. RNAcentral describes it as "partial 16S ribosomal RNA". It matches the Rfam family "Bacterial small subunit ribosomal RNA", at positions 28 to 507 of the family's 1533-position model. The record is from RNAcentral.
GAUGAACGCUGGCGGCGUGCCUAAUACAUGCAAGUCGAGCGAACGGACGAGAAGCUUGCUUCUCUGAUGUUAGCGGCGGACGGGUGAGUAACACGUGGAUAACCUACCUAUAAGACUGGGGUAACUUCGGGAAACCGUAGCUAAUACCGGAUAAUAUUUUGAACCGCAUGGUUCAAAAGUGAAAGACGGUCUUGCUGUCACUUAUAGAUGGAUCCGCGCUGCAUUAGCUAGUUGGUAAGGUAACGGCUUACCAAGGCAACGAUGCAUAGCCGACCUGAGAGGGUGAUCGGCCACACUGGAACUGAGACACGGUCCAGACCCCUACGGGAGGCAGCAGUAGGGAAUCUUCCGCAAUGGGCGAAAGCCUGACGGAGCAACGCCGCGUGAGUGAUGAAGGUCUUCGGAUCGUAAAACUCUGUUAUUAGGGAAGAACAUAUGUGUAAGUAACUGUGCACAUCUUGACGGUACCUAAUCAGAAAGCCACGGCUAACUACGUG